Long non-coding RNA from Poeciliopsis prolifica (blackstripe livebearer), 1174 nucleotides. RefSeq lists it as uncharacterized. The transcript is spliced from 3 exons. Lineage: Eukaryota; Metazoa; Chordata; Actinopteri; Cyprinodontiformes; Poeciliidae. The record is from RefSeq and is a predicted model, not a curated record.
GACAUGACCCAAUCACCUUCCCUUUAAGCCCAUCCCUUUAAGUUCAUUGUCAUGUGUGUUUCCGGGUUGGCUGCUGCUCACUGUUGGUUGUCGCGUCCGUUGUUGAUAAAACAACUUGAAGUUAUAAAUCGACUCAUCACUCAUUUAAUCUAAACUCAACUUUGAAGAUUUCUGCUGGAACACCUUCCUGAAUUGAACAAGUUACCAUUGCAUCCACCUCCUCAGACAAUCCGUUACUCGACGGUCAGGUUUUUUUUUUCUUCCGGACUCCUGCACGGAUACAUUGGAUGACGGAAGAUGGCGAGCUACCCACCCACCAUCUGGUGGUAGGAAACAGAACUACACUUUCCAUAUAGGAACUGAACAGACUCUAAGGAGUAUCAAAAAAAAAAAGGGAAAAUAACUAUUCUCCCUUCAUUUUUGGACCUCUUGUGGACUCUAUUAGGUUUUGAAGUGUCACUGACAAGUGUUUUGUUUGUUUUCUAUUUCCCUGUUUUUUGAGAACUUUAUUUAUUUUUGUUGUUUUGGUAUUAUCAUUAUCAUUAUUAUUAUUAUUAUUAUUAUUAUUAUUAUUAUUAUUAUUACUAUUAUUAUUAUUGCCACUGCAAUAAAUAGCAGUAUUAACAAACCUUUUUUUGGCAUCAAUUGUAUUAAUUAUUCACCCAAUCAUGACUCCAUGUCGUACCUACUUCUGAUCUACAAACUGGUUAACACUAUACCUUGCAGUCAGAUCUGCGCAUCAAAAGAAAGCGUUACACAUUGCUAGUCCUUUCUUUUUCCCAAGGACAUUCUGUUCCCACUGGAUCGAUGUUUUCAAUCUGGUGAUUACCAUUUCAUCACUAGAGGCAUUAUAAUCAAUAACUGUGAUUACUGCUUUAAGGCAUUUACAUGUAUACAAGAUCGAGGAUUUUAAAACACAACAUCCGAUUCCUUCUGUUUGGUUUCAUAAAACCCUUUGAUAGUCUUGUUAUCUGUUUACAUGUGGUAAACCCAUUAUGAGUCUUUGUUACAGACUCAAAUUUAUUGUUAGAUUGAGUUUAAGAUAUUUCAACAUGACUAUUAUUAUUGAUUACCAUAGAUAUUAGUCUGUAUUGCCACUGACUUCAUUAAGUUGUCAAAACAUAUUCCAUGUCUUCGAUUCUUGUUGUGGUUUUAGAAGUGAUAUGAAAAUAAA